ACGAUGAUGCCAGCUUGCUGGUGGAUUAGUGGCGAACGGGUGAGUAACACGUGAGUAACCUGCCCUUGACAAUGGGAUAAGCCUGGGAAACUGGGUCUAAUACCGGAUAUGACUGAUCAUCGCAUGGUGGUUGGUGGAAAGGCUUUUGUGGUUUUGGAUGGACUCGCGGCCUAUCAGCUUGUUGGUGGGGUAAUGGCCUACCAAGGCGACGCCGGGUAGCCGGCCUGAGAGGGUGCCCCGGCCACACUGGGACUGAGACACGGCCCAGACUCCUACGGGAGGCAGCAGUGGGGAAUAUUGCACAAUGGGCGAAAGCCUGAUGCAGCGACGCCGCGUGAGGGAUGACGGCCUUGGUUGUNAACCUCUUUCAGUANGGAAGAAGCGUAAGUGACGGUACCUGCAGAAGAAGCGCCGGCUAACUUACGUGCCAGCAGCCGCGGUAAUACGUAGGGCGCAAGCGUUAUCCGGAAUUAUUGGGCGUAAAGAGCUCGGGGGGCGGUUUGUCGCGUCUGCCGUGAAAGUCCGGGGCUCAACUCCGGAUCUGCGGUGGGUACGGGCAGACUAGAGUGAUGUAGGGGAGACUGGAAUUCCUGGUGUAGCGGUGAAAUGCGCAGAUAUCAGGAGGAACACCGGGUUCGAAGGCAGGUCUCUGGGCAUUAACUGACGCUGAGGAGCGAAAGCAUGGGGAGCGAACAGGAUUAGAAUACCCUGGUAGUCCAUGCCGUAAACGUUGGGCACUAGGUGUGGGGGACAUUCCACGUUUUCCGCGCCGUGGGCUAACGCAUUAAGUGCCCCGCCUGGGGAGUACGGCCGCAAGGCUAAAACUCAAAGGAAUUGACGGGGGCCCCGCACAAGCGGCGGAGCAUGCGGAUUAAUUCGAUGCAACGCGAAGACCCCUUACCAAGGCUUGACAUGAAAACAGACCGGGCUGGAAACAGUCCUUCCCCUUUGGGGUUGGUUUACAGGUGGUGCAUGGUUGUCGUCAGCUCGUGUCGUGAGAUGUUGGGUUAAGUCCCGCAACGAGCGCAACCCUCGUUCCAUGUUGCCAGCGGGUAGUCCCGGGGACUCAUGGGAGACUGCCGGGGUCAACUCGGAGGAAGGUGGGGACGACGUCAAAUCAUCAUGCCCCUUAUGUCUUGGGCUUCACGCAUGCUACAAUGGCCGGUACAAAGGGUUGCGAUACUGUGAGGUGGAGCUAAACCCAAAAAGCCGGUCUCAGUUAGGAUUGGGGUCUGCAACUCGACCCCAUGAAGUCGGAGUCGCUAGUUUAUCGCAGAUCAGCAACGCUGCGGUGAAUACGUUCCCGGGCCUUGUAAACACCGCCCGUCAAGUCACGAAUUUUGGUAACACCCGAAGCCGGUGGGGGAA
RNAcentral lists this ribosomal RNA (1368 nucleotides) under Arthrobacter liuii. Its description in RNAcentral is "bacterial SSU rRNA". It matches the Rfam family "Bacterial small subunit ribosomal RNA", at positions 66 to 1438 of the family's 1533-position model. Lineage: Bacteria; Bacillati; Actinomycetota; Actinomycetes; Micrococcales; Micrococcaceae. The record is from RNAcentral.